UGCGAAGGUGAAAUGGUGCGGUAAGAGCGCACCGGCGCCGUGGUGACACGGCGGCCAGGCAAGCCCCACCCGGUGCAAGGCCGAAUAGGGAGGCGCUUGAGGGUUGCUCGCCCGAAGCCUCCGGGUUGGCCGCAUGAGCCGUCCGGCAACGGCCGGCCAUAGAUAGAUGGCUACCCAAGACAGAAUCCGGCUUAUAGGGCUGCUAACGCA
RNAcentral lists this RNase P RNA (210 nucleotides) under Actinomycetota bacterium. RNAcentral describes it as "Actinobacteria bacterium partial RNase P RNA component class A". It matches the Rfam family "Bacterial RNase P class A", at positions 147 to 367 of the family's 367-position model. From Rfam's summary of the family: Ribonuclease P (RNase P) is a ubiquitous endoribonuclease, found in archaea, bacteria and eukarya as well as chloroplasts and mitochondria. Its best characterised activity is the generation of mature 5'-ends of tRNAs by cleaving the 5'-leader elements of precursor-tRNAs. The record is from RNAcentral. Lineage: Bacteria; Bacillati; Actinomycetota.